AUUGAACGCUGGCGGCAUGCCUUACACAUGCAAGUCGAACGGUAACAGGUCUUCGGAUGCUGACGAGUGGCGAACGGGUGAGUAAUACAUCGGAACGUGCCCGAUCGUGGGGGAUAACGAAGCGAAAGCUUUGCUAAUACCGCAUAAGAUCUAAGGAUGAAAGCAGGGGACCGCAAGGCCUUGCGCGAACGGAGCGGCCGAUGGCAGAUUAGGUAGUUGGUGGGAUAAAAGCUUACCAAGACGACGAUCUGUAGCUGGUCUGAGAGGACGACCAGCCACACUGGGACUGAGACACGGCCCAGACUCCUACGGGAGGCAGCAGUGGGGAAUUUUGGACAAUGGGCGAAAGCCUGAUCCAGCCAUGCCGCGUGCAGGAUGAAGGCCUUCGGGUUGUAAACUGCUUUUGUACGGAACGAAAAGACUCUUUCUAAUAAAGAGGGUCCAUGACGGUACCGUAAGAAUAAGCACCGGCUAACAACGUGCCAGCAGCCGCAGUAA
RNAcentral lists this ribosomal RNA (498 nucleotides) under uncultured bacterium. RNAcentral's name for it is "partial 16S ribosomal RNA". It matches the Rfam family "Bacterial small subunit ribosomal RNA", at positions 30 to 523 of the family's 1533-position model. The record is from RNAcentral.